This 253-nucleotide ribosomal RNA is filed under the name uncultured bacterium. RNAcentral's name for it is "partial 16S ribosomal RNA". It matches the Rfam family "Bacterial small subunit ribosomal RNA", at positions 524 to 776 of the family's 1533-position model. The record is from RNAcentral.
UACGUAGGGUCCGAGCGUUGUCCGGAAUUAUUGGGCGUAAAGGGCUCGUAGGCGGUCCGUCACGUCGGGAGUGAAAACUCGGAGCUCAACUCCGAGCCUGCUUCCGAUACGGGCAGACUAGAGGUAGGCAGGGGAGAGCGGAACUCCUGGUGUAGCGGUGGAAUGCGCAGAUAUCAGGAAGAACACCGGUGGCGAAGGCGGUUCUCUGGGCAUGUCCUGACGCUGAGGAGCGAAAGUGUGGGGAGCGAACAGG